This 330-nucleotide RNase P RNA is filed under the name marine eukaryotic metagenome. Its description in RNAcentral is "Bacterial RNase P class A". It matches the Rfam family "Bacterial RNase P class A". From Rfam's summary of the family: Ribonuclease P (RNase P) is a ubiquitous endoribonuclease, found in archaea, bacteria and eukarya as well as chloroplasts and mitochondria. Its best characterised activity is the generation of mature 5'-ends of tRNAs by cleaving the 5'-leader elements of precursor-tRNAs. The record is from RNAcentral.
AGCUGAUCGAGUAAUCGCUGAUGUAAGUCAGAGGAAAGUCCGGGCUCCAAAGGAUAAAGUGCCAGGUAACUCCUGGGAGUAAUGAAAAUUACUACGGAAAGUGCAACAGAAAGUAAACCGCCGUAAAGGUAAGGGUGAAAAGGUGCGGUAAGAGCGCACCGGAUAUUUGGAAACAAAUAUUGCUUUGUAAACCCCACUUGGAGCAAGACUAAAUAGAGAUUCUAUAAUGUUAUCCGCAUUGAAUCUGGGUAAGUUGCUAGAGGUUUGUGGCGACGCAAAUCCAAGAUGAAUGAUUACAUAAAACAGAACCCGGCUUAUGGGUCAGCUCAU